UGCUUCAGCCAUACCACCCUGAACACAUCCGAUCUCGUCUGAUCUCCUAAGCUAAGCASGGUUGGGCCCAGUUAGUACUUGGAYGGAAGAAUGUCAGGUGGUGUAAGCUUUGCAGCUAGAGUAC
This 124-nucleotide ribosomal RNA is filed under the name Amphilophus citrinellus (Midas cichlid). The record is from RNAcentral. Lineage: Eukaryota; Metazoa; Chordata; Actinopteri; Cichliformes; Cichlidae.